UAGCCUACGGGGCGCAGCAGUAGGGAAUUUUCGUCAAUGGGCGCAAGCCUGAACGAGCGAUGCCGCGUGAGUGAAGAAGGCCUUCGGGUCGUAAAGCUCUGUUGCGGGGGAAAAAAGGCAGCAUCAGGAAAUGGGUGCUGACUGAUGGUGCCCCGCCGGAAAGUCACGGCUAACUACGUGCCAGCAGCCGCGGUAAUACGUAGGUGGCGAGCGUUAUCCGGAAUGAUUGGGCGUAAAGGGUGCGCAGGCGGUCCUGCAAGUCAGGUGGGAAACGAAUGAGCUCAACUCAU
This 290-nucleotide ribosomal RNA is filed under the name uncultured bacterium. RNAcentral describes it as "partial 16S ribosomal RNA". It matches the Rfam family "Bacterial small subunit ribosomal RNA", at positions 334 to 617 of the family's 1533-position model. The record is from RNAcentral.